RNA transcript from Scatophagus argus, 3424 nucleotides. It is a transcript of the gene named peroxisomal succinyl-coenzyme A thioesterase-like, with no coding region annotated. The transcript is spliced from 12 exons. NCBI's taxonomy places the organism in Eukaryota, Metazoa, Chordata, Actinopteri, Scatophagidae. The record is from RefSeq and is a predicted model, not a curated record.
AAACACGUGAUUCAAGGAGUGAAUGAGUGAAUUACAGGCCACAGUGAGAAGGACAGACUAAGGGGACUGGUUAUAGUGGGACAGACAGGCCGAGGGGACUGGUUACGGUAGGACAGACAAGCUGAGGCAACAGGUUAUAGAGGGAUGGCCAGACUGAGGGGACUGGUUACAGCGAGACGGAGAGGCCGAUGGGAUAGGUUAUAGUGAGAUCAGCUUUACAGCUCGUAGUGCUGAGUCACAGUGUACUUAUUUGACAAGUAGGGCUAUGUGCUGUUGAAUUGAGUUAAGUCAAUAAAAACAGUAAAUAAAACAAGGUGAUGACAGUUUACACGUUUAAAUCCAGAGUUAUCUCUGUUUUUAAAUUGAAAUUGUGCCCAGUUAACAAGGAAAACAACUCAUGCAGUAUUGUUGAGUUUGUGUUGGGAGGAAGAAAAGAACAUCCUGCAACUUUGCACAGCAUUAACAGAUGUGGAUAAUAAAGAUUAGUUAUCUCUCAGUCUGUUAAAUGAUGUCCUGUUAAAGUUUACUCAGGCUUCUCGUGGGGACACACUCACUUUAAUCAUUUACUCACAACUUCACAACAUAAAACAGAGUGAGUCUGCAAUCAUUUCAGCAGUUCUGUGAGACUGUGCUACACCCACAAAACAUAACGAAGUAAUUAUCAACCCGAACAGAACAAACCUUGUCAGGUUCUGGUUUUAUGACCAAAAGUCUUUCUACAGCUACAAAUGAGACAAACUGUCUUUCAGAGUCAAGUCCAAUCAGUUUGAGUUUACCUUCAGUUUAGGAUGGACAUGAAGAAGCGCAGCGUGACACUGUCGGUCCAGCCGUCCAGGGGGCUCAUGGAUGAGAAGUUCACCAUCUUGGUCCAGAAUGUCCCAUCUGGUUUCCACUUGACUAUCCACGGCCUCCAUCACUGUGAAGAGGGUAACACCUGGGAGGCUUUCGCUCACUACACCGCCAAUGCCACCGGGACUGUCAAUGUUUCAGAGGAUCCCAGUCUGGGCGGGACUUAUUCUGGGGUAGAACAAAUGGGUCUACUGUGGAGUCUCAGACCAGUUCAAGGCAGCAAACCUUGGCUCAGGCUGAGAAAGACGAACGUCCAGACUCCCAUGGAGUUCACAGUCUCGGUGUAUCACGGUCACCAGACGGAGGGCUUUGCAGAUCAGGUGCCACUGGCUGCUGUGGUGGUGGAGCGCUGGUACAUGGCGCCCGGUGUCCACAGGAUCCCAAUCACAGAGGACGGGCUCGAUGCAACCCUCUUCCUGCCGCCAGGUAGGGCCAGGAACGUUUCCUGUGGGUGGAGCUCAGGACCGGGACCUUUCCCUGGUCUCUUGGAUCUGUGGGGAGGUGGAGGGAGGUUGGAGGAGUACCGUGCGGCACUGCUGGCCUCCCAUGGCUUCGCCUCCCUGGCUCUCGACUACCUGACACCUAAAAUCACAGCAGAAACUGAGAAGAUGGUGGACAACAACUAUUUUGAGGUGGCCUACAGAGUCCUGGAGCAGCAUCCUCAGGUCUUCAGCAGCAGGAUUGCCAUGUUGGGUCUUUCCUUAGGUGCUACUAUCACCUUCAAAAUGGCUGCUUACUCCCAAGUUGUAAAGCUCAGGUGCGCGGUGUGUAUUAGCGGAAGUCAUGUGCAGCCAGUUGAAGGAUCUUUGGCAGACAUGAUAACUUACUGUGCCCAAAACGCUGCAAAAGCUCGCUUCACUGCGGACAACCAGAGGAUCUACCACGAUCUGCUGCUGCCCAUCCCCACUGACCCCAAACUCAAAGUGGACGUGGGACGAAUCCAGUGUCCUCUGUUGCUGGUCGUAGGUGAGGACGAUCAGAACUGGCCUGCCUAUGAGUCUGCAGUGGAUAUCAAGGAGAUGAUGGAGCAGGCUGGAAACAGCUACCUGUUGACCUUGCUGUCGUACCCAAAUGCUGGUCACCUGAUUGAACCGCCGUACACACCACACAUCCGGACCAGCAUUUUUAAAUCGAUGAACAAAGAGAAGGAUUAAUAAAAGGGCAGAGAUCAAGGUUGCAGUGGCCAUAACAUCCCAUUAGCAUUCACCAAUCAUCUUAGUCUUCUGUUCAGAGAGUGUUUUCAAGACUCCAGAAUUGUGAAAUAAUCUUCAGCAAGAACUAAAACGUCGGCUAUCAUCAAUGAGGCAAUUCAACCAUCUCCUCCCAUAUAAUGAGCCGAGGGAACAGGACCACUUAAAUGAUGAAUCCCUGGAGUACCACAUGAUGGAAGGAAAACACAUCCCUGAUGCAAUCUGGAGAGAUGCUGUUGUCAGAGCAAGUGAGGAUGGAGAGUACCACAGGAUGGAUCGAAUCUGGGCCUAUCUCAGCCCUGUGAAGAACUGCAUAAGUGGCACCCUACGAUUCACAAGACUGGUAAAGGUUGGACAGCUAGCGUUGUAGUCUGCCACAUUCUAACGCUGAUGCUGAACGUACUUUCUCUGUGGUUUUGACCUCUGUUCUGUAAGACAGACACACGGAAUAGACUGUCUCUUGAUGGCACACUUUCAUCCAUUAUAUCUAUCAAAAUGAGCCCUAACAUUGAGCCCUGCUGCGAAUAUGAGCCCCCUGCUCAGAUUGUAAAAGACGCCAAGACUGCCACAACCUGCUACAACAGGUCAAAUGUCAAUGUGGUGGACCUGCAGCUACUUGAGGAAAAGUAAUGAUACUCAUAGUAAAAUGUUACUCCAGUAAAAGGAGAAGUCCUCCCUUUGCAUUUUCACUUGUUUAAGUGCAGAAGUACUUUUUUUCAAGUGUAUUUAAGUAUCAGAAGUAAAACUACUGUAAUUUAUUAUGACUGCAGUAAUGUUACAUUGCUAUUGCUGAGGAUUUGGCUCAGGCUUUUGUUUUCCACGUUUUAGGUAGUUACUGUAAAACGUAACGCACCAAAUCCAAGCCGUCCUGAACAUGUUCAGUAUUGUUGUAGAAGAACUUUAAUACGAUGGAAAAUGUUUUGGCCAAUGACACCACAAAGCUGUUGUACCGUCUAUAUUGUGCGAAGCCGUGCAACGACAUAAACACUGGCUAAUGCAAUGACAUUGGCAGGGCUGUUCUUAAAUGCCUAAUAGUCGGUUUGACGGAGGUGAAAGCAAAUUAGUCUUUGUGGUCGGUACAGGUUUAGACAGUAAGAGGUGUGCGGCGGCGGUGGCCCAAAAUAUGUAGUGGCCCGCUGCAGGCGCACGUUUGGGGAGAAAUCUGACUCCAGCCAAACGACAAACGUUAGCAACCCUGUGUCGCCAUCUUGUGUCCCAUCACCAUGAGAUGUUGCCGUGGGAGGAGACUGAAGCGCCACCCGCUGAGGUUGGACUAUGGACGGGCUGUGGAGGUACACAUUAAAACCUGGACCUGGAGGACAGACGAUAAACCUGAAGACAGCCGCUCUAGCGUUCUCACAGCCCGGGCAGUAAGUGUAGCUUAC